This 1977-nucleotide long non-coding RNA is filed under the name Pan troglodytes (chimpanzee). RNAcentral describes it as "long non-coding RNA NONPTRT013215". The record is from RNAcentral. Lineage: Eukaryota; Metazoa; Chordata; Mammalia; Primates; Hominidae.
AUUUGAGCUUGGCUCAAUUCUUUCCUUUACUUCUUGGUAGCAAAUCUGCCUACUGAAAUAUGUGUUCUUCUCUACUUUCCAGUUUGAAUUCAAAAUGGUUUGCUUCCAAAGGAGAGGCCUGGGAUCAUUUAGCACAGGCUGGUACAGGGAAGAGAGGUUGAUCAAACCUGUGGUUUAUUACAAAUAGUGUAAAUAAAUGCCCCUGUUUGUUAGGACAGUCCUGGUUUACACUUAUUUUCACAAUGAAAUUAUUAACAUUGCUGCUUUUUUUUCUCUUAAAAGUGUUCUGGUUUAGAUGCUAAAUAAUGUAGUUAUUCUAAUUAUAAGAAAGCACACUCUUCCACAAAGACACAUCUAACAUCAUAUUUCAUCUGAAAUAAAGAUGAUGUUUUAACUUCCAUCUACCUCAUUAUUUUAUAUGUCAACAAUUUAUAUAGAACUAAAAAAAAAGCUGUGUUCUUUGGACCCUUUAAACUCAAAAGAAUUAAUAUAUAGUGAUUUAGAAAAUAAUAAUUAUAAAAACAUUAUAAUUACAGGUAUUUGGAUAUUCAAGAGAAAAAAACAAUUAUUUUAAGUUCAAGAAGGUCUUAAUUUAUUAUAUGGGUUUUAGUUUUACUUACUUUUUCUUUACUUAACGCUGAAUCUCCACUGAUUACUUUGUGAAGCUCAAAACUGACUCUGCAAAUAUUCUAGGAGGGAAGUUCCAUUUAUAAAAUUUAUAAAGCUUAUUGAAUUAAGAUUACAUUCUUUAGACAACAAAAGUUAAGAGUUUUAUUGUAUAUAUAUCAUAAUAAUAUUCCUCACUAAUAACUCUAAUACCUCUGAAAUUAAGAGGGAAUCAAUAUUGAUUUUUAAAUGUCAAUUUCUUUCAGCAGAACUCUGAUAUCUCAAAAUAGUAACCAUCCUACCUUGUCAAUAUUUACUUCACCUAGAUUAGGAAUGAAUUACAAUGGGAAAAACAAUUAUAAUUCUGAUUAAUACUUUGGGAACUCCGAAGUAUAGGUGCUUGUAUACGUGUAUAUCUACUACACUGUAUGUGAAAUUCUAGGAAAUUUGGAAAUUCAGUUAAAUUAGUAGAGAAAACUCAGCCCUCAGGCAGCUUGCAUUCCAGUGAUUUUCCCCUUUCCCUUUACAACAUAGUAACUAAAAAAACAACUAAAAAAGUAUUGGUUUUUGUUAACCUUGUAAUACCACUACCCUACAUUUUGUACAAUUGAAUAUUUGAAACUUAUUCAAUUAUGGCAGAGUCUCACCAUUUACCCAAUUUGAAAGCACAAGAGAAAUCUAAGCUAACAAUAUGUUUUAGUUAUACCAAUCCAAAAAAUUCCUUCCUAAGCAAAGACCUGUGUAAAAUUAGCUACUGAUGAAGCAGAAACUUAUGCAGAGAGCACGGCUUUUGUGUAUUUAGGAGAAAACAUUUUUGACUGGAUUUGGAAUGUUUUUCUGGGCAACCAUUAAAAUUAAGCAUAUUAAACUCUUUCUCCUUUUCUGUCAAAGUUAAUUUCUAUUUCACUUCAAAAAACAUCUUUAUAGUUAAAUACAACUUUAUGAAAGUCAAUGCUAUUGCUUAGUCAUUUGUUUUUCUACAGAAAACGUCUUACUUCAACAACAUUGCACUAUUCAAAAGUCAGCUGUGUUCCUUUUUAAUAAAGGGAGUUUUUUUAUUAUAAUGGACUAAAAAAUUUUCUAGUGUAUUUAUCCAGCAAUUUAGAAAAUAAAGUUCUUUUAUAAGUGGAAUUAAAAUUUUGCUUUAACAAUGACUGUCUCUUACAGAGGUCCUAUUUAAGUCAUCCUAAUUAGUCUACUAGUUUUCAUUUAUCAGAAUGUUAGAUUUUUUGUUAGGUUCUGAAACUGGAACAUGACAUAAGUGUUCCAUGUCAGAACAUUUAAUAUACACUCUGUUCUACUUCAUAGAGUACUUGUUUUUUCAGAAUGCCAAGAAGAGUACUGGAUAUAUUCUACAGUGUGUUACAUGUU